CCUAGGGGGUGCAGCAGUGGGGAAUAUUGGACAAUGGGCGAAAGCCUGAUCCAGCCAUGCCGCGUGUGUGAAGAAGGCCUUCGGGUUGUAAAGCACUUUCAGUGGGGAAGAAAGCCUUGGGGCUAAUACCCUCGAGGAAGGACAUCACCCACAGAAGAAGCACCGGCUAACUCCGUGCCAGCAGCCGCGGUAAUACGGAGGGUGCGAGCGUUAAUCGGAAUUACUGGGCGUAAAGCGCGCGUAGGCGGUCUGAUAAGCCGGUUGUGAAAGCCCCGGGCUCAACCUGGGAACGGCAUCCGGAACUGUCAGGCUAGAGUGCAGGAGAGGAAGGUAGAAUUCCCGGUGUAGCGGUGAAAUGCGUAGAGAUCGGGAGGAAUACCAGUGGCGAAGGCGGCCUUCUGGACUGACACUGACGCUGAGGUGCGAAAGCGUGGGUAGCAAACAGGAUUAGAUACCCUAGUAGUC
RNAcentral lists this ribosomal RNA (465 nucleotides) under Vreelandella stevensii. Its description in RNAcentral is "partial 16S ribosomal RNA". It matches the Rfam family "Bacterial small subunit ribosomal RNA", at positions 338 to 795 of the family's 1533-position model. Lineage: Bacteria; Pseudomonadati; Pseudomonadota; Gammaproteobacteria; Oceanospirillales; Halomonadaceae. The record is from RNAcentral.